RNAcentral lists this ribosomal RNA (484 nucleotides) under uncultured bacterium. Its description in RNAcentral is "bacterial SSU rRNA". It matches the Rfam family "Bacterial small subunit ribosomal RNA", at positions 30 to 507 of the family's 1533-position model. The record is from RNAcentral.
AUUGAACGCUGGCGGCAUGCCUAACACAUGCAAGUCGAACGGCAGCACGGGAGCUUGCUCCUGGUGGCGAGUGGCGGACGGGUGAGUAAUGCAUAGGAAUCUGCCCAGUAGCGGGGGACAACUUGGGGAAACUCAAGCUAAUACCGCAUGCGCCCUACGGGGGAAANCGGGGGACCUUCGGGCCUCGCACUAUUGGAUGAGCCUAUGUCAGAUUAGCUUGUUGGUGGGUAACGGCCUACCAAGGCGACGAUCUGUAGCUGGUCUGAGAGGACGAUCAGCCACACUGGAACUGAGACACGGUCCAGACUCCUACGGGAGGCAGCAGUGGGGAAUAUUGCGCAAUGGGCGAAAGCCUGACGCAGCCAUGCCGCGUGUGUGAGAAGGCCCUUGGGUUGUAAAGCACUUUCAAUUGGGAAGAAAGGUUGCGUGUUAAUAGCACGUAGCUGUGACGUUACCUUUAGAAGAAGCACCGGCUAACUCCGUG